Molecule: ribosomal RNA, 253 nt
Filed under: uncultured bacterium
Lineage: Bacteria
Description: partial 16S ribosomal RNA
Rfam family: Bacterial small subunit ribosomal RNA
Source: RNAcentral
UACAGAGGGUGCGAGCGUUAAUCGGAAUUACUGGGCGUAAAGCGCGCGUAGGCGGCUUUGCAAGUCGGGUGUGAAAUCCCCAGGCUUAACCUGGGAACUGCAUUCGAGACUGCAUUGCUAGAGUAUGGGAGAGGGAAGUGGAAUUUCAGGUGUAGCGGUGAAAUGCGUAGAUAUCGAGAGGAACACCAGUGGCGAAGGCGAGUCCCUGGACAGGUCCUGACGCUGAGGCACGAAAGCUAGGGGAGCAAACAGG